AGCACAGAGUUGGGAGUGACUCCAGAGCCUCCUGCAAGAUGCUGUUGAUUCUGCUGUCAGUGGCCUUGCUGGCCCUGAGCUCAGCUCAGAACUUAAAUGAAGAUGUCAGCCAGGAAGAAUCUCCCUCCCUAAUAGCAGGAAAUCCACAAGGACCAUCCCCACAAGGAGGCAACAAGCCCCAGGGCCCCCCACCUCCUCCAGGAAAGCCACAAGGACCACCCCCACAAGGAGGCAACAAACCUCAAGGUCCCCCACCUCCAGGAAAGCCACAAGGACCACCCCCACAAGGGGACAAGUCCCGAAGUCCCCGAUCUCCUCCAGGAAAACCACAAGGACCACCCCCACAAGGAGGUAACCAGCCCCAAGGUCCCCCACCUCCUCCAGGAAAGCCACAAGGACCACCCCCACAAGGAGGCAACAGACCUCAAGGUCCCCCACCUCCAGGAAAGCCACAAGGACCACCCCCACAAGGAGACAAGUCCCGAAGUCCCUGAUCUCCUCCAGGAAAGCCACAAGGACCACCCCCACAAGGAGGUAACCAACCCCAAGGUCCCCCACCUCCUCCAGGAAAGCCACAAGGACCACCCCCACAAGGAGGCAAGAAACCUCAGGGUCCCCCACCUCCAGGAAAGCCACAAGGACCACCCCCACAAGGAGACAAGUCCCGAAGUUCCCAAUCUCCUCCAGGAAAGCCACAAGGACCACCCCCACAAGGAGGCAACCAGCCCCAAGGUCCCCCACCUCCUCCAGGAAAGCCACAAGGACCACCCCCACAAGGAGGCAACAAACCUCAAGGUCCCCCACCUCCAGGAAAGCCACAAGGACCACCCGCACAAGGAGGCAGCAAGUCCCAAAGUGCCCGAUCUCCUCCAGGAAAGCCACAAGGACCACCCCAACAAGAAGGCAACAAUCCUCAAGGUCCCCCACCUCCAGCAGGAGGCAAUCCCCAGCAGCCUCAGGCACCUCCUGCUGGACAGCCCCAGGGACCACCACGCCCUCCUCAAGGGGGCAGACCUUCCAGACCUCCCCAGUGACAGCCUCCCCAGUCAUCUAGGAUUCAAUGACAGGAAGUGAAUAAGAAGAUGAGAGUGAUUCAAAUGAUUCAAAUUCCAUGACAUUGGAAAAAGGUCAUCAUAGCUCUAACUUCAAUAUACCAAUAAAAUAAUCAGCUUGCAA
Molecule: RNA transcript, 1176 nt
Organism: Homo sapiens (human)
Lineage: Eukaryota; Metazoa; Chordata; Mammalia; Primates; Hominidae
Gene: PRB1
Gene name: proline rich protein BstNI subfamily 1, transcript variant 1, non-coding
Exons: 4
Source: RefSeq, marked reviewed